Molecule: ribosomal RNA, 402 nt
Filed under: uncultured bacterium
Lineage: Bacteria
Description: bacterial SSU rRNA
Rfam family: Bacterial small subunit ribosomal RNA
Source: RNAcentral
UGGGGAAUCUUGCACAAUGGGGGCAACCCUGAUGCAGCGACGCCGCGUGAGCGAUGAAGCCCUUCGGGGCGUAAAGCUCUUUCGACCGGAACGAUAAUGACGGUACCGGGAGAAGAAGCUGCGGCUAACCACGUGCCAGCAGCCGCGGUAAUACGUAGGCAGCAAGCGUUGUUCGGAGUUACUGGGCGUAAAGAGUGCGUAGGCGGUUUUCUAAGUUCGGUGUGAAAUCUCCCGGCUUAACUGGGAGGGUGCGCCGAAGACUGGGAAGCUGGAGUGUGGGAAAGGCAGGCGGAAUUCCUGGUGUAGCGGUGAAAUGCGUAGAUAUCAGGAGGAACACCGGCGGUGUAGACGGCUUGCUAGACCAUAACUGACGCUGAGGCACGAAAGCGUGGGUAGCAAACA